Molecule: non-coding RNA, 125 nt
Organism: Brachypodium distachyon (stiff brome)
Lineage: Eukaryota; Viridiplantae; Streptophyta; Magnoliopsida; Poales; Poaceae
Source: Rfam
GUACUACUCCCUCCGUUCCAUAAUUCUUGUCGAAAUAUUACAUGUAUCUAGACAUAUUUUAGUAAUAGAUACAUCCAUUUUUAGGCAAAUUUGAGACAAGAAUUAUGGAAUGGAGGUAGUACUUG